RNAcentral lists this ribosomal RNA (253 nucleotides) under uncultured bacterium. Its description in RNAcentral is "partial 16S ribosomal RNA". It matches the Rfam family "Bacterial small subunit ribosomal RNA", at positions 524 to 776 of the family's 1533-position model. The record is from RNAcentral.
UACGUAUGGUGCAAACGUUAUCCGGAUUUACUGGGCGUAAAGGGAGCGCAGGCGGCGCGCCAAGUCUGAUGUGAAACCCCGGGGCUCAACCCCGGGCAUGCAUUGGAAACUGGCGGGCUGGAGUGCCGGAGAGGUAAGCGGAAUUCCUAGUGUAGCGGUGAAAUGCGUAGAUAUUAGGAGGAACACCAGUGGCGAAGGCGGCUUACUGGACGGCAACUGACGCUGAGGCUCGAAAGCGUGGGGAGCAAACAGG